Heterocephalus glaber (naked mole-rat) is the source of this 46-nucleotide non-coding RNA. NCBI's taxonomy places the organism in Eukaryota, Metazoa, Chordata, Mammalia, Rodentia, Bathyergidae. The record is from Rfam.
UUAAUGGCUUUUUUUAAAGUCAUACAUUAAAUUAAGAAGACUUUCU